UACAGAGGUCUCAAGCGUUGUUCGGAUUCAUUGGGCGUAAAGGGCGCGUAGGCGGCGGGGUAAGUCGGGUGUGAAAUCUCAGAGCUCAACUCUGAAACUGCACUCGAUGCUGCUCUGCUUGAGGACUGGAGAGGAGACUGGAAUUCACGGUGUAGCAGUGAAAUGCAUAGAUAUCGUGAGGAAGACCAGUGGCGAAGGCGGGUCUCUGGACAGUUCCUGACGCUGAGGCGCGAAGGCCAGGGGAGCAAACAGG
Molecule: ribosomal RNA, 253 nt
Filed under: uncultured bacterium
Lineage: Bacteria
Description: partial 16S ribosomal RNA
Rfam family: Bacterial small subunit ribosomal RNA
Source: RNAcentral